This 77-nucleotide transfer RNA is filed under the name Bacteroidales bacterium. RNAcentral's name for it is "tRNA-Cys". It matches the Rfam family "tRNA". From Rfam's summary of the family: Transfer RNA (tRNA) molecules are approximately 80 nucleotides in length. Their secondary structure includes four short double-helical elements and three loops (D, anti-codon, and T loops). Lineage: Bacteria; Pseudomonadati; Bacteroidota; Bacteroidia; Bacteroidales. RNAcentral also lists the same sequence under 1 other name. The record is from RNAcentral.
ACAGCAGUAGCUUAGUCGGUCAGAGCAUCAGCCCACAGAGCUGACGGUCGCGGGUUCGAGCCCCGCCUGCUGUGCCA